Molecule: signal recognition particle RNA, 99 nt
Filed under: Opitutia bacterium
Lineage: Bacteria; Pseudomonadati; Verrucomicrobiota; Opitutia
Also listed under: 1 other name
Description: Opitutae bacterium (marine metagenome) signal recognition particle sRNA small type
Rfam family: Bacterial small signal recognition particle RNA
About the family: The signal recognition particle (SRP) is a universally conserved ribonucleoprotein involved in the co-translational targeting of proteins to membranes. Archaeal SRP consists of a 7S RNA and homologues of the eukaryotic SRP19 and SRP54 proteins. In most bacteria, the SRP consists of a 4.5S RNA and the Ffh protein (a homologue of the eukaryotic SRP54 protein).
Source: RNAcentral
GGCCGGGUCCCAUGCGACGCGUCUCGAACGAACCCCGUCAGGUCCGGAAGGAAGCAGCGGUAGUUAGGAGAAGCGUGUGCUGUGGGGUGCCUGGCCUUU